RNAcentral lists this ribosomal RNA (820 nucleotides) under uncultured archaeon. RNAcentral's name for it is "bacterial SSU rRNA". It matches the Rfam family "Archaeal small subunit ribosomal RNA", at positions 502 to 1319 of the family's 1478-position model. The record is from RNAcentral.
UAUUGGGUCUAAAGGGUCCGUAGCCGGUUUAAUCAGUCUUCUGGGAAAUCUAAUCGCUUAACUAUUAGGCUUCCAGGGGAUACUGUUAGACUUGGGACCGGGAGAGGUAAGAGGUACUGCAGGGGUAGGAGUGAAAUCUUGUAAUCCCUGUGAGACCACCAGUGGCGAAGGCGUCUUACCAGAACGGGUCCGACGGUGAGGGACGAAAGCUGGGGGCACGAACCGGAUUAGAUACCCGGGUAGUCCCAGCUGUAAACGAUGCUCGUUAGGUGUCAGGAACGGUGCGACUGUUUCUGGUGCCGAAGGGAAGCCGUGAAACGAGCCACCUGGGAAGUACGGCCGCAAGGCUGAAACUUAAAGGAAUUGGCGGGGGAGCACUACAACGGGUGGAGCCUGCGGUUUAAUUGGACUCAACGCCGGAAAACUCACCGGGGGCGACAGCAAUAUGUAGGUCAGGUUAAAGGUCUUACCUGAAUCGCUGAGAGGAGGUGCAUGGCCGUCGUCAGUUCGUACUGUGAAGCAUCCUGUUAAGUCAGGCAACGAGCAAGACCCGUGCCCACUGUUACCAGCAUAUCCUUUAUGGAUGAUGGGGACUCUGUGGGGACCGCUGCUGCUAAAGCAGAGGAAGGUGCGGGCUACGGUAGGUCAGUAUGCCCCGAAUCUCCCGGGCUACACGCGGGCUACAAUGGUUGGGACAAUGGGUAUCUACUCCGAAAGGAGUUGGCAAUCUCUUAAACCCAAUCGUAGUUCGAAUUGAGGGCUGUAACUCGCCACUCAUGAAGCUGGAAUCCGUAGUAAUCGCGUUUCAACAUAGCGCGGU